This 452-nucleotide ribosomal RNA is filed under the name uncultured bacterium. Its description in RNAcentral is "bacterial SSU rRNA". It matches the Rfam family "Bacterial small subunit ribosomal RNA", at positions 340 to 784 of the family's 1533-position model. The record is from RNAcentral.
UACGGAAGGCAGCAGUGGGGAAUAUUGCACAAUGGGCGCAAGCCUGAUGCAGCCAUGCCGCGUGUAUGAAGAAGGCCUUCGGGUUGUAAAGUACUUUCAGUCGUGAGGAAGGUGUUAAGGUUAAUAACCUUAGCAAUUGACGUUAGCGACAGAAGAAGCACCGGCUAACUCCGUGCCAGCAGCCGCGGUAAUACGGAGGGUGCGAGCGUUAAUCGGAAUUACUGGGCGUAAAGGGCACGCAGGCGGUUAAUUAAGUUGGAUGUGAAAUCCCCGGGCUUAACCUGGGAAUGGCAUUCAAGACUGGUUAGCUAGAGUCUUGUAGAGGGGGUAGAAUUCCGAUGUGUAGCGGUGAAAUGCGUAGAGAUGUGGAGGAAUACCGGUGGCGAAGGCGGCCCCUGGACAAAGACUGACGCUCAUGUGCGAAAGCGUGGGGAGCAAACAGGGAUUAGAUA